GCUCUGCCAUGGCGGGGAGGGUUGGGGGUAAGAAAUAUAAGACCCAAUUCCCUGUGGAGGCGGGGAUUCGGUGAAACCAAUCCCUUGAAUGUGGGGUGGAACCAACAUGUAACUCAAUUUGCUUUGGCUCUCACUGUGCAUUUGAGCUAAAGCAAGGGAAGCAUUUCCCCUUCCCCUGGCUGAAAGCUCAGCUGACCCCGAGGCUCUUCUGGUCAUGCUUAGGUACAGCUAUGACUCCAUCUUCAACCCCUAGAAAUCCAGCAUCCUCUUCCAACUUCUUUCUGCUGACAUCCCUUUGCCCUUCUCAGAGGCCCUACAGGACUUAAAAUGACCCCCACCUUGGCCCUCUCUCCUGCCAUGGUCCAUCUGAUCCACAUGUGGCCCAUGGGAAGAACUCACACAGCCCCUUCACUCAUCCUAAUGCAGUCCCUCCU
Molecule: long non-coding RNA, 434 nt
Filed under: Homo sapiens (human)
Lineage: Eukaryota; Metazoa; Chordata; Mammalia; Primates; Hominidae
Description: non-protein coding LINC02289:35
Source: RNAcentral